This 497-nucleotide ribosomal RNA is filed under the name uncultured bacterium. RNAcentral describes it as "partial 16S ribosomal RNA". It matches the Rfam family "Bacterial small subunit ribosomal RNA", at positions 899 to 1397 of the family's 1533-position model. The record is from RNAcentral.
ACUCAAAGGAAUUGACGGGGGCCCGCACAAGCGGUGGAUCAUGUGGUUUAAUUCGAUGCAACGCGAAGAACCUUACCUACUUUUGACAUGUACUGGAAGACUCGUAGAAAUACGGUCGCCCGCAAGGGCCGGUACACAGGUGCUGCAUGGCUGUCGUCAGCUCGUGUCGUGAGAUGUUGGGUUAAGUCCCGCAACGAGCGCAACCCUUGCCUUUAGUUGCCAGCAUUUAGUUGGGCACUCUAAAGGGACUGCCGACGUUAAGUCGGAGGAAGGUGGGGAUGACGUCAAGUCCUCAUGGCCCUUAUAAGUAGGGCUACACACGUGAUACAAUGGCAACUACAAAGAGCAGCAAAACCGCAAGGUGAAGCCAAUCUCAUAAAAGUUGUCUAAGUUAGGAUUGGAGUCUGCAACUCGACUCCAUGAAUGCGGAAUCGCUAGUAAUCGCGGAUCAGAACGCCGCGGUGAAUACGUUCCCGGGCCUUGCACACACCGCCCGU